AGCCCCUUAUUCAGUGUGUGUUUGCCAGCUCGGAGCACAACAGCGCCUUGGCUCACGUUCGUGUUCUCUCUCCUUGCCGUCAAGGGCCUGUUUGUGGUCGUUGCUCUCCCAUCUGGAGGAACUGCCUCAUUCGUUUGUCUCCUUUUGAAUUCGUGAAUGGUGAUCCGUUGUCAAGAUCGUCUCUCCCGUUACCGAACAACCGACUGGUGCUAAUGACUGUUCUAGUGCUCGUGAGAAAGGGUGGCAGGUAGGAAGCGGACUGAGGGAUCGGAUGCCUCGUGUAACCUGACGGCAAGGAGGAGGAGAGAAGGAAAAAGUCACCAUCCGAUAAGCGGGAGUUUGUGGUCUAAAUAAAGACUUGUCCCUGAUUGACAUGUGAAGUGAAUUUUCACCUUCCAAGGUUGCAGCUCUCCACGUUGAAUCUUGAAAAGAAGUCAUUCGUAGAUAUUAAUACCGUCAUCGGCUGCAUUACAGGAUUACUGCGAGGGCAAAGUGCACCUUCUGAUGAGGAACUUCUCGUCCACUCUGGAGGGACUGGGCCUUGGGACACUGUGACCACCCCUCCCCCCUUUGUAUUUAUUUGUUACGUCACGCUCGAGAACAAGCGAAGAUGAUCUCCUUGUCGGGGAUUUUGACUUUCAUAUACAACUCCCUCCUGGUGCUGUUCAUCUCGGCGCACUUAUUAGUAGGUGGAGCUCUAACGUUUGGAGCCGGUGUGUAUGCGGGAAUCUACAUCACACAAAAUUAUGAAGUUCCAAGAGUUGAUGAACCAAGCAAGCUAUGGGAGAAGGUUAAAGACUGGGCUGAAUCACAUAAGAAGAAGGACUAGAAUUAAAGAUGAUGACUUGAACUAUGUAGCUGAACUAAACUCGCCUGGGAUAAGCUGACAUGCUGUCGUUGAUAGGCCUAUACUACCAUAGUAAAUUACGAGGAAUUUAUAUAUAAUAUAGAUUAUUCCUAGUGUUAAGGAUAGGAGGUUAUGUAUAGACUUUGCCAUCUGUGGAAAAAUAUCUUUUAAGUACUUUUGUUAAACCUUUUAAUGUUCUAAAAAUCAUUGUUAUCUAGCACAAGUGCAAUAAGCCCAAAAGUACAUAUUUUUGUGAAUGCAUUGUACUUGUUUUAGACGUAAGUUUUACCUAUCAAAAGCCUCUUGUUAAUCAUGUUUUACAUUAAAUAAUCAUUUGCUUU
This is a long non-coding RNA of Macrobrachium nipponense, 1188 nucleotides long. RefSeq lists it as uncharacterized. Lineage: Eukaryota; Metazoa; Arthropoda; Malacostraca; Decapoda; Palaemonidae. The record is from RefSeq and is a predicted model, not a curated record. The transcript has 3 exons.